CUGAUCUCAUGAAAUGGCGUAUUUCUGACAUGUUAUGUUAUCAAGACGCAUCCUCGCUUGUUAGCGUGUUUAUCAACGCCGUUUGGCCCCCAUUGACUUACAUUACCUUGCGAUAGUUUGUGAAUUUACGCCGUAGCGAGUAGUAUGAAAGGAGGAAAAUGGCUGGUCAGGGAGGUGGAUGGGUAAAACAGAGGACUUUCAUCCAGGAGACCGGGGAUCGUGUCCAUUGUAUCAUGUUUCCUAAACCCAACCAGGUCUUAAUUUCCUAAACUGAACUGUCGCUUUCUUCUCGUGAUAACACGGCAAGUAGCGUGUAUGUUUACGCCCGCUGUAUACAGCAUAGACAUACACGGGGGAAACUCAAAAUGCGAACAAAUAACACGCCACUCGGCUUCAGAAAAUCGGCGUGUAUGUUUACGCAAAGUCAUGAUGCCAAGUUGGAAA
Molecule: long non-coding RNA, 444 nt
Organism: Etheostoma spectabile (orangethroat darter)
Lineage: Eukaryota; Metazoa; Chordata; Actinopteri; Perciformes; Percidae
Exons: 3
Source: RefSeq, a predicted model, not a curated record